This is a long non-coding RNA of Zalophus californianus (California sea lion), 360 nucleotides long. RefSeq lists it as uncharacterized. The record is from RefSeq and is a predicted model, not a curated record. Lineage: Eukaryota; Metazoa; Chordata; Mammalia; Carnivora; Otariidae. The transcript has 3 exons.
CUAACACUAUUUAACAGAAAUAGUCAGUUUCAAAAUCCACAAGUAUUUGCAAUAUAUUCAGAUAAUCAAGACCAAUAAUUAGGACAUUGCUUAAUCUUCUGGAGCGCUUGCUCAUACAUCUAUUAUCAAUAUUUAUAUGUCAGCUGGAUGUGGAAAUAGAAACACAGAUUUAAUGGCACAAAUCACACAAAGUAUUCUACAUGGAAAUUCUGGUCCCAUACAGCUGGGAGAGCUGAAAUGCCUGCUGUCAGCCUGUCUGUACAGGAUUACCAUGGCUAUUGCGUGGAUAGAGGCAAGAUCAGCAGCAAGAAAUCUCCCGCAGAAGUUGAGAGAGAGGACGCUGGUAGUGGUGACUAUAAC